RNAcentral lists this ribosomal RNA (253 nucleotides) under uncultured bacterium. Its description in RNAcentral is "partial 16S ribosomal RNA". It matches the Rfam family "Bacterial small subunit ribosomal RNA", at positions 524 to 776 of the family's 1533-position model. The record is from RNAcentral.
UACGGGGGGGGCAAGCGUUGUUCGGAAUUACUGGGCGUAAAGGGCUCGUAGGCGGCCAACUAAGUCAUACGUGAAAUCCCUCGGCUUAACCGGGGAACUGCGUCUGAUACUGGAUGGCUUGAGUUCGGGAGAGGGAUGCGGAAUUCCAGGUGUAGCGGUGAAAUGCGUAGAUAUCUGGAGGAACACCGGUGGCGAAGGCGGCAUCCUGGACCGAUACUGACGCUGAGGAGCGAAAGCAUGGGUUGCAAACAGG